UACAGAGGUGGCAAGCGUUGUUCGGAAUUACUGGGCGUAAAGGGCGCGUAGGCGGUCAGGUCAGUCCCGUGUGAAAUCCCUCGGCUCAACUGAGGAACUGCACGGGAAACUACCUGGCUUGAGUUCGGGAGAGGGAAGCGGAAUUCCGGGUGUAGCGGUGAAAUGCGUAGAUAUCCGGAGGAACACCGGUGGCGAAGGCGGCUUCCUGGACCGACACUGACGCUGAGGCGCGAAAGCUAGGGGAGCAAACAGG
This 253-nucleotide ribosomal RNA is filed under the name uncultured bacterium. RNAcentral's name for it is "partial 16S ribosomal RNA". It matches the Rfam family "Bacterial small subunit ribosomal RNA", at positions 524 to 776 of the family's 1533-position model. The record is from RNAcentral.